AUUGCCUCAGUAACGGCGAGUGAAGCGGCAAAAGCUCAAAUUUGAAAUCUGGCUCUUUUAGGGUCCGAGUUGUAAUUUGUAGAAGAUGUUUCGGGUGUGGCUCCGGUUUAAGUUCUUUGGAAUAUUACAUCAUAGAGGGUGAGAAUCCCGUAUGUGACCGGCAGCCUUCGCCUAUGUGAAACUCUUUCGACGAGUCGAGUUGUUUGGGAAUGCAGCUCAAAAUGGGAGGUAUAUUUCUUCUAAAGCUAAAUAUUGGCCAGAGACCGAUAGCGCACAAGUAGAGUGAUCGAAAGAUGAAAAGCACUUUGGAAAGAGAGUUAAACAGUACGUGAAAUUGUUGAAAGGGAAGCGCUUGCAACCAGACUUGCACGCAGUUGAUCAUCCGGUGUUCUCACCGGGGCACUCUGCUGCGUUCAGGCCAGCAUCGGUUUUGGUGGUUGGAUAAAGGCCUUGGGAAUGUGGCUUCCUUCGGGGAGUGUUAUAGCCCUCGGUGCAAUGCAGCCUACCGGGACCGAGGACCGCGCUUCGGCUAGGAUGCUGGCGUAAUGGUUGUAAGCGACCCGUCUUGAAACACGGACCAAGGAGUCUAACAUCUAUGCGAGUGUUUGGGUGUUAAACCCAUACGCGUAAUGAAAGUGAACGGAGGUGAGAACCCUUAAGGGUGCAUCAUCGACCGGUCCUGAUGUCUUCGGAUGGAUCUGAGUAAGAGCAUAGCUGUUGGGACCCGAAAGAUGGUGAACUAUGCGUGAAUAGGGUGAAGCCAGAGGAAACUCUGGUGGAGGCUCGCAGCGGUUCUGACGUGCAAAUCGAUCGUCAAAUUUGCGCAUAGGGGCGAAAGACUUAUCGAACCAUUGACACCUACUAGGUGGUAGAGGCCUUAGUACGGCCUAGUCUCACGAG
Molecule: ribosomal RNA, 900 nt
Filed under: Rhytismatales sp.
Lineage: Eukaryota; Fungi; Ascomycota; Leotiomycetes; Rhytismatales
Description: partial large subunit ribosomal RNA
Rfam family: Eukaryotic large subunit ribosomal RNA
Source: RNAcentral